Molecule: ribosomal RNA, 27 nt
Filed under: Tintinnopsis sp.
Lineage: Eukaryota; Ciliophora; Spirotrichea; Tintinnida; Codonellidae
Description: partial large subunit ribosomal RNA
Source: RNAcentral
AGCACCUGAGAUGAAGUAGGAGGACCC